AUUCAUUCAUUUUUUAAAUUAAAGUGUAUGUAUGCUUGUCAAGUUUGUUUACGUGAGAAUAUGAUAUUUAAUUUUACUUCAAUAAUAUCUUCUACCAAUUUUUUUUUAUUUUUGAUGUACCCUAUGACUAUUUGAAAUAAGAUACAAGAUAUGUGUCACAUUUAUUAGGUAACAAUAGAAAUUUGGAAUCUAGUUAUUGAGUAUCAAAUUUAUCAGUACUUAUUGAAAAAAUUAGUUCAUCAAAAUGAAUAUUUCAAUGGUUGCAAUCGUGU
This 272-nucleotide long non-coding RNA is filed under the name Lathyrus oleraceus (garden pea). RNAcentral describes it as "Pisum sativum (pea) long non-coding RNA (PSAT_LNC030769)". Lineage: Eukaryota; Viridiplantae; Streptophyta; Magnoliopsida; Fabales; Fabaceae. The record is from RNAcentral.